Molecule: ribosomal RNA, 796 nt
Filed under: uncultured bacterium
Lineage: Bacteria
Description: bacterial SSU rRNA
Rfam family: Bacterial small subunit ribosomal RNA
Source: RNAcentral
CAGUCGAGCGAGAAGGUGUAGCAAUACACUUGUAAAGCGGCGAACGGGUGAGGAAUACAUGGGUAAUCUACCAUCGAGUGGGGAAUAACCAGCCGAAAGGUUGGCUAAUACCGCGUACGCCUCCGAAUCUUCGGGUUCGGAGGGAAAGCCGCACUGUGAGUGCGGCGCUCUUUGAUGAGCUCAUGUCCUAUCAGCUCGUUGGUAGGGUAACGGCCUACCAAGGCUUUGACGGGUAGCUGGUCUGAGAGGACGAUCAGCCACACUGGCACUGCGACACGGGCCAGACUCCUACGGGAGGCAGCAGUAAGGAAUAUUGCGCAAUGGGCGAAAGCCUGACGCAGCGACGCCGCGUGGGGGAUGAAGGUCUUCGGAUUGUAAACCCCUUUCGGGAGGGAAGAUGGAGCGAGCAAUCGUUCGGACGGUACCUCCAGAAGCAGCCACGGCCAACUUCGUGCCAGCAGCCGCGGUAAUACGAAGGUGGCAAGCGUUGUUCGGAUUCACUGGGCGUACAGGGUGUGUAGGCGGUUUGGUAAGCCUUCUGUUAAAGCUUCGGGCCCAACCCGGAAAGCGCAGAGGGUACUGCCAGGCUAGAGGGUGGGAGAGGAGCGCGGAAUUCCCGGUGUAGCGGUGAAAUGCGUAGAGAUCGGGAGGAAAGGCCGGUGGCGAAAGCGGCGCUCUGGAACAUACCUGACGCUGAGACACGAAAGCGUGGGGAGCAAACAGGAUUAGAUACCCUGGUAGUCCACGCCCUAAACUAUGGAUACUAAGUGUCGGCGGGUUACCGCGGUGCCGCAGC